This 1720-nucleotide long non-coding RNA is filed under the name Marmota monax (woodchuck). The record is from RNAcentral. Lineage: Eukaryota; Metazoa; Chordata; Mammalia; Rodentia; Sciuridae.
UGUGAUUCUCCUGCUUCAGUCUCCUAAUAGCUGGGAUUGCACCAAACACAUACUCUCCCAUAAAUUUUAAAUAAUUUCUUGAUGAUUUGUAAUACUUAAUGCCAUAUGAAUGCUAGGUGAAUAGUUGUACCAUAUUGUUUAGGGAAUGAGAAGGAAAAGGGUCCGUAGGUGCCGGAUACUGUUUUUUUUCCAAAUAGUUUUCAUAAGGGGUUAGUUGAAUCUGUGGCUGUAGAAACUGUGGAUAGGGAAGACUGCCUAUAAAUAUCUGAAUUACAAAACGUGACUUGGGGGCUGGGGAUGUGGCUCAGUGGCAGAGAGCUUGCCUAGCACAUGUGAGGCACUGGGUUCCAUCGUCAGCACCACAUAAAAAUACAUAAAUAAAAUAAAGGUUAAAAAUCCACAUAAUAUUUAAAAGCAACAAACUUGGGCGGUGUUUUGGUCAGCUCUCUGCUCCCAUGGGCUUGGCUGUAGCUCUCACAACCGGCCCAGGCUGGCUCUCAGAUUUUCUGAAUUCUACCUGAAGCUGCCAAACACCAAAAUAGCUUCGGAGCAUGUGAUCUCAAGCCCGAGCUCGCAAAUAAAGCCCCGGGGCAGUCCAGAGAAUUCUGCCCUGGAUGUUGGAAGGGUGCAGGGGGGAGCCAGUCCUCGCCCAGAGUCCUGGUGAAUGGGGGCGGAGUCAAGGCCUUUGGAAUGAGAAGCCAGAGAUCCAAGUCCAAGGUCCAGCCCUGUCUCCGAGGACUUGGCCAGAAACUCAAGCUGUACUUUUCUGGCUGUUUUUGGAGGAAAUCUGCACGUCGGCAGGGCACUUACCCUGCGCUAGGGGAUGCUGUGGGUACCAGGUCGCAGCUCUAACAGAUACUUCCUGCUCUGGAAGGUCUAAUCCCUUUGUCAAUGGAAAUGAGGAGUUAAAUAGAAAGGCAGAGAGGAGAAAGCGAUGACUUCUGAGCUUCACCGCUAACAAAGAGAUGGAACCAGGAAAUGAGAAGGACCCUCGGUGUGGGUGGGGUAAUUUCAGCUUGGGUGGGAAAGAACCCUUGCAGGAGGUGACAGGGAGAUAGGUGACCUUCAGAGGAGGUAACCACCAGGGACAAGGUGGGGAGGGCCCUAGGGAGGGAGAAGAUCGGAAAUGAGGUGUGAAGGAGGAGGAACAGUCCGGUUGCAGGUACCUGGGGGCUGUUCCAGGCAGAGGGAACAGUGUUAGGCCUUGGGAGGCAGCUGGGCUCAGAGACAGCGUGGGGGAGACUGAGGGCUCUGAGGCCACAUUAGCUUCCUUAGCAACAGCCCAAUGUAGUCAGUGCUUUUCCUCUUUAAUUCCGCUCUUCCCCUCAACUUCCUGGCCUGAAUGCAGCUUCUGUGACCCCUUCCAAGUUCGAGAAGUGGCCCAGGGCAAAUGGUCUGGAGCUGUGCCUUGGUUUCCCCAUGUGCAAAACGCUGUGAAUAAGCGGGUGGUGAACCGUCCCCGGUUGGUUCUUCCUGCUCCCAAUUUUUGGCAGUAGGCUUACAGUAGGCGCUUAAUGUAUACUUGCAGUACAAACGACCUGCGAGUCCGCGGCGCCAGGCUCUUAGACCGACAGCUGCCACAACCCGCGGGGCGGACUAGCCCGCUGGCAGGUAGGGACCGGCUGGUGAGCGCUGGGCGGGCGCCCUGGGGCGCAGCCAAGGGUGGAGGCGUGCAGGCUGCGCAAGCGACGUCUGGCGCCCGGGGGCGCGCACGCCGAUC